This 1524-nucleotide ribosomal RNA is filed under the name Caldinitratiruptor microaerophilus. Its description in RNAcentral is "16S ribosomal RNA". It matches the Rfam family "Bacterial small subunit ribosomal RNA". The record is from RNAcentral. Lineage: Bacteria; Bacillati; Bacillota; Clostridia; Eubacteriales; Symbiobacteriaceae.
CUGGCUCAGGACGAACGCUGGCGGCGUGCCUAAGACAUGCAAGUCGAGCGGGGCCCUUUCGGGGGCCCAGCGGCAGACGGGUGAGUAACACGUGGAUAACCUGCCCCGGCCACCGGGAUAACAGGCCGAAAGGCCUGCUAAUACCGGGUAAGCUCACGGCUCCGCAUGGGGCUGGGAGAAGAGGGGCGAUGGCCCCGGGCCGGGAGGGGUCCGCGGCCCAUCAGCUGGACGGUGGGGUAACGGCCCACCGUGGCGACGACGGGUAGCCGGCCUGAGAGGGUGGACGGCCACACUGGGACUGAGACACGGCCCAGACUCCUACGGGAGGCAGCAGUCGGGAAUCUUGCGCAAUGGGCGAAAGCCUGACGCAGCGACGCCGCGUGGGGGAAGAAGGCCUUCGGGUUGUAAACCCCUGUUGCCCGGGACGAGGCCGGUGCGGAGGGAAUGCCGCGCGGGUGACGGUACCGGGCGAGGAAGCCACGGCUAACUACGUGCCAGCAGCCGCGGUAAUACGUAGGUGGCGAGCGUUGUCCGGAAUGACUGGGCGUAAAGGGCGUGUAGGCGGCCCGGUAAGUGGAAGGUGAAAGGUCCCGGCUCAACCGGGGAGGUGCCUUUCAAACUGCCGGGCUUGAGUGGGCUAGAGGGCAGCGGAAUUCCCGGUGUAGCGGUGAAAUGCGUAGAGAUCGGGAGGAACACCAGUGGCGAAGGCGGCUGCCUGGGGCCUGACUGACGCUGAGGCGCGAAAGCUGGGGGAGCAAACAGGAUUAGAUACCCUGGUAGUCCCAGCCGUAAACGAUGAGCGCUACGUGUGGUGGGUAUCGACCCCUGCCGUGCGGUAGCCAACGCAUUAAGCGCUCCGCCUGGGGAGUACGGCCGCAAGGCUGAAACUCAAAGGAAUUGACGGGGGCCCGCACAAGCGGUGGAGCAUGUGGUUUAAUUCGAAGCAACGCGUAGAACCUUACCUGGGCUUGAAAGGCCGCUGGUAGCGCCCGAAAGGGCGUGAGCCCCGCAAGGGGAGGGCGGUACAGGUGGUGCAUGGUUGUCGUCAGCUCGUGUCGUGAGAUGUUGGGUUAAGUCCCGCAACGAGCGCAACCCCCGUCCCGUGUUGCCAGCACGGAAGGUGGGCACUCACGGGAGACUGCCGGGGACGACCCGGAGGAAGGUGGGGAUGACGUCAAAUCAUCAUGCCCCCGAUGUCCAGGGCUACACACGUGCUACAAUGGCCGGGACAGAGCGGACCGAACCCGCGAGGGGGAGGGAAUCGCAAAAACCCGGUCCCAGUUCGGAUCGCAGGCUGCAACUCGCCUGCGUGAAGGCGGAAUCGCUAGUAAUCGCGGAUCAGCACGCCGCGGUGAAUGCGUUCCCGGGCCUUGUACACACCGCCCGUCACACCAUGGGAGUCGGCAACACCCGAAGCCGGUGGGCCAACCCGAGAGGGAGGCAGCCGUCGAAGGUGGGGCCGAUGACUGGGGUGAAGUCGUAACAAGGUAGCCGUAUCGGAAGGUGCGGCUGGAUCACCUCCUU